AAAAAUCUAAAAACAUUUCGUCAAUUUCCUCACUAAACAACACGUUUUUCUCUCAGUGAAGAACAAUAGCUUUUCUGAAGAAUUGAUGAACAAUAGUUUUUUCCUCACAGAUUAUCCGUCAAAAUUGAUCACAGAUUCCUUGUGGAGGAUUGAAGAGCUGAAGAACAUGAAUGUCCUCAUAGAUUCUUUGUUAAAGAGUUGUUUCAUCGUAUUUCACAGAAGAACAAAAUGCUUCACACAAAACACGCCUCAUGUCUUAAAGCUUUAGGGUUGUUGGAAUAGGGUUUACAGUUGCAGUCUCCUUGUUCAUGGGAUCCUGAUAAGAGGACGAUGACAAUUGAUGCUCUUCAGCCUUGAAUUAUCAGGAAGACGAACAAAUAAGAACUAAUCGUCUUGCACUGCUGAAGUAAAUAACAUACUUUCCAAGGGGAUAGCCACAAUAAUAGCCAUGGCGGGGAGAUGAACUUUUUAUCCCAUCAAUCAAUUUUGCUGGAUUAGGUCUCCAUACAUUUCAGAGGAGAACUAGUGAACAGGUCACGGUAAAAGAAAGUACUUGUUGAUGUCGGAUGAGGACUUUAUGAGGAAGAGAAUUUUCAGGUCCCGGUGAACAGAAUCACAAAAACUGUGUAUCCUAUUUUGUAGCAUUUAAGGUAAGCGACUUUACAUUAUUUCUUGUUCAACCCUUCCUGUGCAAUAUUUCAAGUUUUUGAGAUUCAUAAUUAAUGUAGUUUUUGAAUUUUCAGUUUUAGUUCGAUAUUAUUUUGAUAUGAGGUGACAUUGUUUAUGCUAUCUUUAAAAUUUCAUCAUAACUUUUAAGGCGAUUGAUUUUCAAAUUUUUUUCUUCAAGUUCAAAAUUUUGUGAUGAAUAUUUUGGAACUCCAUUAAAUAUGUUGUGUUGUCAUCCUAACUAUUAAUUAUAUGAAUGAUAGAAUAUUAGCGCUGGUUUAAAGUUCUAGUUAUUUUUCGAAUUCUUAAGUUAGUUUCUUAUUCCUUUUGAAUUUUACGCUUCAAGUUACCGAACCAAAUCGCUGCUACAUCUGACCUCCAUAAUGUUUUGAUACUCACGGCCUGCUGUAACUAUUUCUGUGAUAUAUGAGGAUUGUAGUGUGUUGUAUUUUGCUGAUGGAGCGGAAUUUUGUGCAUUAUGUGUCGUGCUAAGUUCUACUUGUAUUAGAUUUUAGCAUGUAGAUGGUGGUCCUUUUUCUACAUAGCCUCCUAUAGUUAGAUUUCUUAAACUAUUAGUAGAAUUGUGCAAGUUUGUUCGUAGUAUGCAUAUUAGGCACUAUUUUCUUUAUCAACGGGGUACUGAACAAGGUUACCGUCAUUUUGCAUUUUGAGGCGAAAAUCCCAAAUAAAUCAUCUGCUUCUGAGGCACUUGAGAAAAGCUUUUGUCUAGCUGCUAUAUGCUAACAGGGUAAAAUAGUGUUUGUCGGAUUGUUAAAACAUCGCCAAAUGACAUUGCUAUCUGAAUCAUAGAGCAGAAAGUAUUCUGUGUCCAGCAUGGAAGCUGAAGCAAUGGCUCGAGAUGGAUUGAUAACAGAGAUUUCUUGGCUUUCUACUUGCAUAGUGAUCCUUUCAUAGGAGACUGCAACAUAUUUCAAAGCUAUCUGCUCACAACUUCCAGAGCAGUCAUCACAUAAGUGUGAUCAAUCUUCCAUCAAAUGUUGUGGUGACAGUGGUCUUUCUCCAGACGACGAAAUAGAGAACAAACUUCUUCUAUCUAGACGUCGAGCAGAAUACUCUGCUAGAACGCAUGCUUUUCCCCAAAAUCUUACUGCUGUCCAUUUUACACAGAAUGUAUUGUUAGUAGGAAUCUUUCAGUAAUUGCAUUCUAUAUGCAUGCACGGGACAUGUUCUCAAAGUUUAUUUAAUUUGAAAUAUAUACCUCCAUAUUAUUUAUAAGCUGAUUUUGUGUUUUA
Long non-coding RNA from Solanum pennellii, 1919 nucleotides. RefSeq lists it as uncharacterized. The transcript is spliced from 4 exons. Lineage: Eukaryota; Viridiplantae; Streptophyta; Magnoliopsida; Solanales; Solanaceae. The record is from RefSeq and is a predicted model, not a curated record.